CCUACGGGUGGCUGCAGUGGGGAAUCUUGCGCAAUGGCCGAAAGGCUGACGCAGCGACGCCGCGUGUGGGAUGAAGGUCUUCGGAUUGUAAACCACUGUCGGGGGGGACGAAAUCUUGACGGUACCCCCAAAGGAAGCACCGGCUAACUCUGUGCCAGCAGCCGCGGUAAUACAGAGGGUGCGCGCGUUGUCCGGAAUCACUGGGCGUAAGGGGCGCGUAGGCGGCCUGGUAAGUCGGGGGUGAAACGCUGCGGCUCACCCGGAGGACUGCCUUCGAGAAUGUCAGGCUUGAGCACGGUAGAGGCUGGUGGAAUUCCCGGUGUAGCGGUGGAAUGCGUAGAGAUCGGGAAGAACAUCGGUGGCGAAGGCGGCCAGCUGGGCCGUUGCUGACGCUGAGGCGCGACAGCGUGGGGAGCAAACAGGAUUAGAUACCCCAGUAGUC
RNAcentral lists this ribosomal RNA (442 nucleotides) under uncultured bacterium. Its description in RNAcentral is "partial 16S ribosomal RNA". It matches the Rfam family "Bacterial small subunit ribosomal RNA", at positions 338 to 795 of the family's 1533-position model. The record is from RNAcentral.